UUCUUCGGAAGUGAGUAAAGCGGCGGACGGGUGAGUAAUACGUGAGUUAUCUGCCUUUUAGUGAAGAAUAUUCUUGAGAAAUUAAGGUUAAUACUGCAUAAGUCCCUUCGGGGAGAAAGAUGGCCUCUUGCUGUCGCUAAAAGAUGAGCUUGCGCGCUAUUAGCUUGUUGGUGGGGUAAAGGCCUACCAAGGCGAUGAUGGCUAGCCGGCCUGAGAGGGUGUACGGCCACACUGGAACUGAGACACGGUCCAGACUUCUACGGGAGGCAGCAGUGAGGAAUAUUGCGCAAUGGGCGAAAGCCUGACGCAGCGACGCCGCGUGGGGGAUGAAGGCUCUAGGGUCGUAAACUCCUGUUAAGUGGGAAGAAAAGCUGAAUCCUAAUAAGAUUCGGUACUGACGGUACCAUUAGAGAAAGCACCGGCUAACUUCGUGCCAGCAGCCGCGGUAAUACGAGGGGUGCAAGCGUUAUUCGGAAUCAUUGGGCGUAAAGGGUGUGUAGGCGGCAUAUUAAGUCACUUGUUAAAUCCUUCGGCUUAACCGAAGACCAGCAAGUGAAACUGAUAAGCUAGAGGAUGGAAGAGAGAAGUGGAAUUCUCGGAGUAGCGGUAAAACGCGUAGAUCUCGAGAGGAACACCGAUGGCGAAGGCAGCUUCUUGGUCCAUUUCUGACGCUGAGACACGAAAGCGUGGGUAGCAAACAGGAUUAGAUACCCUGGUAGUCCACGCUGUAAACGAUGAUCACUAAACGUCAUUUCUGUUUUACGGAAUUGGUGUUGCAGCUAACGCGUUAAGUGAUCCGCCUGGGGAGUACGGUCG
RNAcentral lists this ribosomal RNA (816 nucleotides) under uncultured marine bacterium. Its description in RNAcentral is "bacterial SSU rRNA". It matches the Rfam family "Bacterial small subunit ribosomal RNA", at positions 76 to 888 of the family's 1533-position model. The record is from RNAcentral.